UACAGAGGGGGCAAGCGUUGUUCGGAAUUACUGGGCGUAAAGGGCGCGUAGGCGGCCUGUUAAGUCGGACGUGAAAUCCCUCGGCUCAACUGAGGAGCGUCGAUCGAAACUGCCGUUCUUGAGGGUUGCAGAAGAGACUGGAAUUCCCGGUGUAGCGGUGAAAUGUGUAGAGAUCGGGAGGAACACCGGUGGCGAAGGCGGGUCUCUGGGCAACUCCUGACGCUGAGGCGCGAAAGCGUGGGGAGCAAACGGG
RNAcentral lists this ribosomal RNA (253 nucleotides) under uncultured bacterium. Its description in RNAcentral is "partial 16S ribosomal RNA". It matches the Rfam family "Bacterial small subunit ribosomal RNA", at positions 524 to 776 of the family's 1533-position model. The record is from RNAcentral.